GAUGAACGCUGGCGGCGUGCCUAAUACAUGCAAGUCGAACGAACAGACCAAGACCUGGCUGCUUACACGAGAGCGGAACACGGGAGAAACACACGGGUGAUACCUACCGAUCAUACUGAUAUAACUGCGAGACAGCGGAUCUUACACCAGAUAAUAUCUCCAAGCACGUGGUGCGAUAAAGAAAUAUCGGUGUGCUAUCACCUAUAGAUGGACCUGCUCGGUAUUAGCUAAAUGGCCAAGCAACGGCUCAACAAGGCAACGAUACUGAGACGGACGCUGAGACGCUGAUGCGGACCAGCACAUGACAACUGAGACUCCGUACCAGACUCCUACGGGAGGCAACAUGACGGAAGCUUCCACACCGGAUGAAAGCCUGACCGAGCAACGACGCACUGACUGAUGAAGGUCUUCUCAUCGUACUACUCUGUUAAUAGGGAAGAACAGACACGUGAAUAACAUGCGCCGUCUUGAUCCGUCCUAAUCACAAAGCCACUGCUAACUACGUGACCGCAGCCCCGAAAAUACGUACGUGGCGAGCUCUAACCUGAAUUAUCGCGCCUAAAGCGCGCGCACGCGGCUUAUUUGCUCUAAUGUGAAAGACCACGGCUCAACCUGGGAGCUGCAUUGGAGACUGGAAUACUUGAGUGCACAAGAGGAUAGCGCAAUUCCAUGUGUAACGCCGAAAUGCGCACAGAUAUCGAGGAGCACCAGCUGUGGAAAGCGACUUUCUCGGCUGUAACUGACACUCAUAUGAGAAAACGCGUGGAUCACACACGAUAAUAUACCCUGUGAGACCCCGCCCCAUACAAUGAGUGCUCUAUGUGAGAGUGCCUCCCCCCCUUACCGCGGCAUCUCUCACAUUAUACACUCCCCCUGUGGAGAACAACCGCGCGGUGGAAACUCUCAGGAGUUGAGAGGGACCCCCACACACGCUGGAGAAUGUGGUUAUAUUUCUCAACGCCGCGCAAAAACUCUUCCCAUCUUGAGAUCCUUUGACCCUCUCCGAAAAAAAAGUGUCCCCUUCUGGGGACGAAGUGCACAGGGGGUGCAGGGUUGCUCCCAUCUCGUGCCGAGAUUGUUGGGUUAAUUCCCGCACCGAGCGCACCCCUGUACUCUUAUUUGCCAUCAUUAGGUUGGGCACUCCAAGAUAACUGGCCGUGACUAACCCGAAGAAGGGGGGGAAGACCUCCAAUCCUCCUGCCCCUUAUGAUUCGGGCUACCCACCAUGCUACAAUGGACCAUGACAACGCCAACGCAACCCCGAGAUCAAGAACAUCCCAUUAUCUUGUUCUCACGUCGGACUGAUUGCUGCCUCUCGACUACAUGAAUCUGGACUCGACUCGCAAUCAUACAUCAACCUGCUACGGUGAAUACGAUCACGGCUCU
Molecule: ribosomal RNA, 1386 nt
Filed under: uncultured bacterium
Lineage: Bacteria
Description: partial 16S ribosomal RNA
Rfam family: Bacterial small subunit ribosomal RNA
Source: RNAcentral